AUGGCCUGGACCCCUCUCCUGCUCCCUCUCCUCACUCUCUGCACAGGUUCUGUGUCCUCUUCUAAGCUUACUCAGUAUCCUGCAGUGUCAUUUUCCUUGGGACAGACAGCCACCAUCACCUGCCAGGGAGAAACCCUAAGAAGCCACUAUCCUAGCUGGUACCAGAAGAAUACAGGACAGGCCCCUGUAUUGCUCAUCUAUGGUAAUAACAACCGGCCCUCAAGGAUCCCUGCCCGAUUUUCCAGCUCCUACUCAGAGGACACAGGCACCCUGACCAUCAGUGGGGUCCAGAUCGAGGAUGAGGCUGACUAUUACUGCCAAUCGUGGGGCAGUGAUUAUGCUCACAGUGGCACAGGCUGA
Non-coding RNA from Equus quagga, 360 nucleotides. Lineage: Eukaryota; Metazoa; Chordata; Mammalia; Perissodactyla; Equidae. The record is from the annotation of a RefSeq genome assembly.